RNAcentral lists this ribosomal RNA (497 nucleotides) under uncultured bacterium. Its description in RNAcentral is "partial 16S ribosomal RNA". It matches the Rfam family "Bacterial small subunit ribosomal RNA", at positions 28 to 507 of the family's 1533-position model. The record is from RNAcentral.
GAUGAACGCUGGCGGCGUGCCUAAUACAUGCAAGUCGAGCGAACGGACGAGAAGCUUGCUUCUCUGAUGUUAGCGGCGGACGGGGGAGUAACACGUGGAUAACCUACCUAUAAGACUGGGAUAACUUCGGGAAACCGGAGCUAAAACCGGAUAAUAUUUUGAACCGCAUGGUUCAAAAGUGAAAGACGGUCUUGCUGUCACUUAUAGAUGGAUCCGCGCUGCAUUAGCUAGUUGGUAAGGUAACGGCUUACCAAGGCAACGAUGCAUAGCCGACCUGAGAGGGUGAUCGGCCACACUGGAACUGAGACACGGUCCAGACUCCUACGGGAGGCAGCAGUAGGGAAUCUUCCGCAAUGGGCGAAAGCCUGACGGAGCAACGCCGCGUGAGUGAUGAAGGUCUUCGGAUCGUAAAACUCUGUUAUUAGGGAAGAACAUAUGUGUAAGUAACUGUGCACAUCUUGACGGUACCUAAUCAGAAAGCCACGGCUAACUACGUG